GUAUUAGCAGGUUUCUGCAAUGGG
This 24-nucleotide non-coding RNA is filed under the name Arabidopsis thaliana (thale cress). The record is from RNAcentral. Lineage: Eukaryota; Viridiplantae; Streptophyta; Magnoliopsida; Brassicales; Brassicaceae.